Molecule: ribosomal RNA, 406 nt
Filed under: uncultured bacterium
Lineage: Bacteria
Description: partial 16S ribosomal RNA
Rfam family: Bacterial small subunit ribosomal RNA
Source: RNAcentral
AUUGAACGCUGGCGGCAGGCCUAACACAUGCAAGUCGGGCGAGCGGCGGACGGGUGAGUAAUGUAUGGGGAUCUGCCUGAUGGCGGGGGAUAACUACUGGAAACGGUAGCUAAUACCGCAUACCAUCAGAUGAACCCAUAUGGGAUUAGCUAGUAGGUAAGGUAACGGCUUACCUAGGCGACGAUGCCUAGCUGGUCUGAGAGGAUUAUUAGCCACACUGGGACUGAGAAACGGCCCAGAUUCCUACGGGAGGGAGCAGGGGGGAAUAUGUGAAAAAGGGCGCAAGCCUGAAGGAGCCAGGCCGGGGUGAAGAAAAAGGGCUUUGGGUUGUAAAGGACUUUCCGCGGGGAGGCGUUACCCGCAGAAGAAGCACCGGCUAACUCCGUGCCAGCAGCCGCGGUAAUUC